Cebus imitator (Panamanian white-faced capuchin) is the source of this 301-nucleotide long non-coding RNA. RefSeq lists it as uncharacterized. The transcript is spliced from 2 exons. NCBI's taxonomy places the organism in Eukaryota, Metazoa, Chordata, Mammalia, Primates, Cebidae. The record is from RefSeq and is a predicted model, not a curated record.
CUCUGAGCCCUGCAGCCCCCGGGGCCCCCACCUAGCUCGCAGGGCAGCUAAACCAGCCCAACGUCAGCCUGAUGGCCAAUGUCAGCAUGACCAGAAACAUGCCAGCCGUGAGAUAAACUCCCUCCGACCAGAAACAUGCCAACCCUGCAAUAAAGCUUUCCUCACACAGCAACGUUCUGAGCCUGUGAUAAGCCCUCCCUCCCUAACCCAUUCUCUUACUUGGUCUGUAAGAGAAUGCUCCUGAGUCAGCGAGAAGGCCCACUCAGGUUCCUUCCCAAAGUAAACCUGUUUUUGACUGUGG